Molecule: long non-coding RNA, 379 nt
Filed under: Phaseolus vulgaris (common bean)
Lineage: Eukaryota; Viridiplantae; Streptophyta; Magnoliopsida; Fabales; Fabaceae
Description: long non-coding RNA (PVUL_LNC000939)
Source: RNAcentral
AGUGAGUGAGUUAUGAAGUGCCUCGUGUUCUUUGUUGCUGCAGUUUUGGUGGCAUCUCAAUGCCAUGGCGCUUCCUUCCGAAGCUUCCCUCUGAGCAUGACAACUGGUUAUGGCGACGGUGCUAGUGACACGGAGGUACGAUGCGCCAGUUGGAGGCUUGCGGUGGAAGCACAGAACAUCUUCGGCUUUGAAACCAUUCCUCAACAGUGCGUAGACGCUACAGCCAACUACAUCGAAGGAGGACAAUACAGAUCAGACUCCAAAACAGUUAACCAACAGAUUUACUUUUUCGCUAGAGAUCGCCAUGUCCAUGAGAACGAUGUCAUUCUGUUCAACAUAGAUGGAACUGCACUCUCCAAUAUCCCAUACUAUUCUCAAC